AUUGAACGUUGGCGGCACGCCUAAUACAUGCAAGUCGAACGAGAAAGCACUUCGGUGUGAGUACAGUGGCGGACGGGUGAGUAACGCGUAGGAAUCUACCUAGUAGUGGGGGACAACUCGGGGAAACUCGAGCUAAUACCGCAUACGACCUAAGGGUGAAAGUGGGGGAUCUUCGGACCUCACGCUAUUAGAGGAGCCUGCGUUGGAUUAGUUUGUUGGUGGGGUAAUGGCCUACCAAGACUACGAUCCAUAGCUGGUCUGAGAGGACGAUCAGCCACACUGGAACUGAGACACGGUCCAGACUCCUACGGGAGGCAGCAGUAGGGAAUCUUGGGCAAUGGGCGAAAGCCUGACCCAGCGAUGCCGCGUGUGUGAAGAAGGCCUUAGGGUUGUAAAGCACUUUCAGUCGCGAAGAAAUGUUCAGGGUUAAUAGCUCUGAGCCUUGACGUUAACGACAGAAGAAGCACCGGCUAACUCCG
Molecule: ribosomal RNA, 479 nt
Filed under: uncultured Gammaproteobacteria bacterium
Lineage: Bacteria; Pseudomonadati; Pseudomonadota; Gammaproteobacteria
Description: bacterial SSU rRNA
Rfam family: Bacterial small subunit ribosomal RNA
Source: RNAcentral